UAGGGAAUCUUCGGCAAUGGGGGCAACCCUGACCGAGCAACGCCGCGUGAGUGAAGAAGGUUUUCGGAUCGUAAAGCUCUGUUGUAAGUCAAGAACGAGUGUGAGAGUGGAAAGUUCACACUGUGACGGUAGCUUACCAGAAAGGGACGGCUAACUACGUGCCAGCAGCCGCGGUAAUACGUAGGUCCCGAGCGUUGUCCGGAUUUAUUGGGCGUAAAGCGAGCGCAGGCGGUUUGAUAAGUCUGAAGUUAAAGGCUGUGGCUCAACCAUAGUUCGCUUUGGAAACUGUCAAACUUGAGUGCAGAAGGGGAGAGUGGAAUUCCAUGUGUAGCGGUGAAAUGCGUAGAUAUAUGGAGGAACACCGGUGGCGAAAGCGGCUCUCUGGUCUGUAACUGACGCUGAGGCUCGAAAGCGUGGGGAGCGAACAGGAUUAGAUACCCUGGUAGUCCACGCCGUAAACGAUGAGUGCUGGGUGUUGGAUCCUUUCCGGGAUUCAGUGCCGCAGCUAACGCAUUAAGCACUCCGCCUGGGGAGUACGACCGCAAGGUUG
RNAcentral lists this ribosomal RNA (550 nucleotides) under uncultured bacterium. Its description in RNAcentral is "bacterial SSU rRNA". It matches the Rfam family "Bacterial small subunit ribosomal RNA", at positions 355 to 896 of the family's 1533-position model. The record is from RNAcentral.